RNAcentral lists this long non-coding RNA (684 nucleotides) under Homo sapiens (human). RNAcentral's name for it is "HSALNT0296166". Lineage: Eukaryota; Metazoa; Chordata; Mammalia; Primates; Hominidae. The record is from RNAcentral.
AUUUGCUCUCAGCUCUAUUCCCACCCUUCUGUGUUCCUUGUUUUUCAGAAGGUUAGAAGUCUGCAAACUACAUUUAUCAUUUCCAUUGUCAGAUGGCUUCUGAUUAGAUUUUGUCACUGGGUGGUAUUGGUUAAAGUUGGAUGGAAGGAAUAAAUUAUAUAUUUUUCCAUAAUCUUGGUUUCUGGUAAUGUUUUCAGUAGUGGCAGUGAUAGCAGAAGAUGAGUACCGCUUCAGGGUUCCUGGUGUAGCAGUGCAGUUCCAGCAAGCAUGUCAGAAGUCUUGCUAGUGUGGUACUGGUGGGAUCAGGCUUUGAUGGUGGCAUCUGCAGUGCAGGAACAGAGGUGUUGCCUGCACAAAGAUGCUGGGAAGAGAAAGUCAGAGUCAUGGCCGACAGAUCUUCAUCCUCCCAAGCCAAGAUUGUGGAAGCCACUGGAGACCUGGUUCAGAAUCCAGGCUCUACUGCUCUCUAGCUAUGGAAUAAUGGAGAAGGCCAGAAGGUCAUGACAGCUGGAUCUUAGACAGACAUUCUGAGUCAUGAGGAGGAAGCCAAGUUCUGAGGAUGGUGGAGCAGGAAGAUAGAAGUUGGAACCCCAAUGACCUUGUGAACUAUUCUACUGACUGUGAACUGCCAACUCCGCACUUUUUUACAUGAGCAAGAAAUAAACCUCUUUCUUGUUUAAGCCA